UGAUGAUCUUGGAACACGUGC
This 21-nucleotide microRNA is filed under the name Brachypodium distachyon (stiff brome). RNAcentral describes it as "bdi-miR5182". Lineage: Eukaryota; Viridiplantae; Streptophyta; Magnoliopsida; Poales; Poaceae. The record is from miRBase by way of RNAcentral.